GACGAACGCUGGCGGCGUGCUUAACACAUGCAAGUCGAACGGAAAGGCCCUGCUUUUGUGGGGUGCUCGAGUGGCGAACGGGUGAGUAACACGUGAGUAACCUGCCCUUGACUUUGGGAUAACUUCAGGAAACUGGGGCUAAUACCGGAUAGGAGCUCCUGCUGCAUGGUGGGGGUUGGAAAGUUUCGGCGGUUGGGGAUGGACUCGCGGCUUAUCAGCUUGUUGGUGGGGUAGUGGCUUACCAAGGCUUUGACGGGUAGCCGGCAUGAGAGGGUGACCGGGCACAUGGGGACUGAGAUACGGACCAGACGGCAACGGGAGGCAGCAGGGGGGAAUAUUGCACAAUGGGGGGAAGCCUGAUGCAGCAACGCCGCGUGCGGGAUGACGGCCUUCGGGUUGUAAACCGAUUUCGCCUGAGACGAAGCGUGAGUGACGGUAAUGGGUAAAGAAGCACCGGCUAACUACGUG
RNAcentral lists this ribosomal RNA (468 nucleotides) under uncultured bacterium. Its description in RNAcentral is "partial 16S ribosomal RNA". It matches the Rfam family "Bacterial small subunit ribosomal RNA", at positions 28 to 507 of the family's 1533-position model. The record is from RNAcentral.